This 394-nucleotide ribosomal RNA is filed under the name uncultured bacterium. RNAcentral describes it as "bacterial SSU rRNA". It matches the Rfam family "Bacterial small subunit ribosomal RNA", at positions 28 to 414 of the family's 1533-position model. The record is from RNAcentral.
GACGAACGCUGGCGGCGUGCUUAACACAUGCAAGUGGAGCGACGAACCAGGCUUCGGCCUGGGGCAAAGCCGCGAACGGGUGAGUAACACGUGGGUAACCUGCCCCGAUGACCGGGACAACCCGAGGAAACUCGGGCUAAUACCGGAUGUGGUCCCUUCACAUCAGUGAAGGUGACUAAAGGUAGCUUCGGCCUCCGCAUCGGGAUGGGCCCGCGGCCCAUUAGCUUGUUGGUGGGGUAAUGGCCUACCAAGGCUUCGAUGGGUAGCUGGUCUGAGAGGACGAUCAGCCACACUGGGACUGAGACACGGCCCAGACUCCUACGGGAGGCAGCAGUGGGGAAUCUUGCGCAAUGCGCGAAAGCGUGACGCAGCAACGCCGCGUGUGGGAAGACGG